RNAcentral lists this ribosomal RNA (712 nucleotides) under Heyndrickxia oleronia. RNAcentral describes it as "bacterial SSU rRNA". It matches the Rfam family "Bacterial small subunit ribosomal RNA", at positions 105 to 801 of the family's 1533-position model. The record is from RNAcentral. Lineage: Bacteria; Bacillati; Bacillota; Bacilli; Caryophanales; Bacillaceae.
GGUGAGUAACACGUGGGUAACCUGCCUGUAAGACUGGGAUAACUCCGGGAAACCGGGGCUAAUACCGGAUAACUUUUUUCUUCGCAUGAGRGGAGAAUUGAAAGAUGGCYUCGGCUAUCACUUACAGAUGGACCCGCGGCGCAUUARCUAGUUGGUGAGGUAACGGCUCACCAAGGCGACGAUGCGUAGCCGACUUGAGAGGGUGAUCGGCCACACUGGGACUGARACACGGCCCAGACUCCUACGGGAGGCAGCAGUAGGGAAUCUUCCGCAAUGGACGAAAGUCUGACGGAGCAACGCCGCGUGAGUGAUGAAGGUUUUCGGAUCGUAAAACUCUGUUGUUAGGGAAGAACAAGUAUCGUUCGAAUAGGGCGGUACCUUGACGGUACCUAACCAGAAAGCCACGGCUAACUACGUGCCAGCAGCCGCGGUAAUACGUAGGUGGCAAGCGUUGUCCGGAAUUAUUGGGCGUAAAGCGCGCGCAGGCGGUUUCUUAAGUCUGAUGUGAAAUCUUGCGGCUCAACCGCAAGCGGCCAUUGGAAACUGGGAGACUUGAGUGCAGAAGAGGAGAGUGGAAUUCCACGUGUAGCGGUGAAAUGCGUAGAGAUGUGGAGGAACACCAGUGGCGAAGGCGACUCUCUGGUCUGUAACUGACGCUGAGGCGCGAAAGCGUGGGGAGCGAACAGGAUUAGAUACCCUGGUAGUCCACGCC